UACGUAGGGGGCAAGCGUUGUCCGGAUUUAUUGGGGGUAAAGAGCGUGUAGGCGGCCAUACAGGUCCGUUGUGAAAACUCGAGGCUCAACCUCGAGACGUCGAUGGAAACCGUAUGGCUAGAGUCCGGAAGAGGAGAGUGGAAUUCCUGGUGUAGCGGUGAAAUGCGCAGAUAUCAGGAAGAACACCCGUGGCUAAGGCGGCUCUCUAGUACGGUACUGACGCUGAGACGCGAAAGCGUGGGGAGCGAACAGG
This 253-nucleotide ribosomal RNA is filed under the name uncultured bacterium. Its description in RNAcentral is "partial 16S ribosomal RNA". It matches the Rfam family "Bacterial small subunit ribosomal RNA", at positions 524 to 776 of the family's 1533-position model. The record is from RNAcentral.